Molecule: ribosomal RNA, 56 nt
Filed under: Hamatocaulis vernicosus
Lineage: Eukaryota; Viridiplantae; Streptophyta; Bryopsida; Hypnales; Calliergonaceae
Also listed under: 1 other name
Description: partial 25S ribosomal RNA
Source: RNAcentral
CAGACCUCUAAUCGGAAAAGACUACCCGCUGAGUUUAAGCAUAUCACUAAGCGGAG